This 790-nucleotide ribosomal RNA is filed under the name uncultured Bacillus sp. RNAcentral describes it as "bacterial SSU rRNA". It matches the Rfam family "Bacterial small subunit ribosomal RNA", at positions 552 to 1340 of the family's 1533-position model. The record is from RNAcentral. Lineage: Bacteria; Bacillati; Bacillota; Bacilli; Caryophanales; Bacillaceae.
UACUGGGCGUAAGCGCGCGCAGGUGGUUCUUUAAGUCUGAUGUGAAAGCCCACGGCUCAACCGUGGAGGGUCAUUGGAAACUGGGGAACUUGAGUGCAGAAGAGGAAAGUGGAAUUCCACGUGUAGCGGUGAAAUGCGUAGAUAUGUGGAAGAACACCAGUGGCGAAGGCGACUUUCUGGUCUGUAACUGACACUGAGGCGCGAAAGCGUGGGGAGCGAACAGGAUUAGAUACCCUGGUAGUCCACGCCGUAAACGAUGAUUGCUAACUGUUAGAGGGUUUCCGCCCUUUAGUGCUGCAGCUAACGCAUUAAGCACUCCGCCUGGGGAGUACGGCUGCAAGGCUGAAACUCAAAGGAAUUGACGGGGGCCCGCACAAGCGGGGGAGCAUGUGGUUUAAUUCGAAGCAACGCGAAAAACCUUACCAGGUCUUGACAUCGUCUGACAACGGUAGAAAUAGGGCUUUCCNCUUCGGGGGACAGAGUGACAGGUGGUGCAUGGUUGUCGUCAGCUCGUGUCGUGAGAUGUUGGGUUAAGUCCCGCAACGAGCGCAACCCUUGAUCUUAGUUGCCAGCAUUCAGUUGGGCACUCUAAGGUGACUGCCGGUGACAAACCGGAGGAAGGUGGGGAUGACGUCAAAUCAUCAUGCCCCUUAUGACCUGGGCUACACACGUGCUACAAUGGAUGGUACAGAGAGCCCGCAUACCCNCGAGGNCAACCUAAUCUCAUAAAGCCAUUCUCAUUUCAUAUUGCACGCUGCAACUCGCCUGCAUGAAGCCAGAAUCUCUAGUA